This 707-nucleotide long non-coding RNA is filed under the name Marmota monax (woodchuck). The record is from RNAcentral. Lineage: Eukaryota; Metazoa; Chordata; Mammalia; Rodentia; Sciuridae.
UUUGUAUGGCCCUAGGAGAAACUUGUUUCUAUGCAAACCAUUCUGGGAUAAUAAAAGACAGUUUGGCACUAGUAAGAAAUAGGUUAAAGGAAAGAAAGAAAGCACAAGACACUUCAGGCAAUUGGUUCCAAAACCUACUCUCAAGGUCCCCUUGGUUAACUACCAUCAUUUCAGUCAUAGUUGGGCCCCUAGUCCUUCUCCUGAUUGGUAUUCCUGUAGGACCCUGCCUCUUAAAAACCCUCCUAAACCAUAUACACAAGAAUGUAGGUGAGGUGCGACUUAUGGGCUUGGGAGCCCAGAGUGGUCCCUUAGACACAGAAGGAUGGAAAAGAAACUGAGGCCUAAUGAUGUGCAAGAUUGACAUCAAACCUACUAAUGUGAUAGUAAAAGUAAAUGUGACUCCAUUCUGUAAAACAACCAGGCCAAGUUCAAGGGUCAUGACUGGGGCAAUAUGUUCUUUUCCUCUUCCUAUAGAAACCUUUAAGAACAUGGAACUACCUAAUGAGGCAUUGUUACAGUAACUAGGGUAAGGGGGCUCUGUUUCUGUAAUGGGGUGACUGGGCUAACUGUGAUUGGUUAGGCUUCCCGCCACCGGACUGCACUCUCCCACUUCUGUGACCUGGCUUGCUUGCAUUGGCUAGACCCCCGAAAAUCCCUUUUGCGGUUUUCAGGAUUAUAAGGAGCGCCCUUGCAAUUGCCGGGGGCUG